AGGGGGAGGGGUGUUUAAUAAACAAAAAAAACGAUAAGGAAAGGGGAGAAAAAUACAGUACAGAUUUGCAGCAAAGACGCACAGGUUUUUGAGCAUUGUGUCGGUGUGUCUCUCUCACGCCGACAAUACAUCACGCGCUCACGCUUGCUGACACGGUAGAGGCCUACUCGAGUUGCCAUCUGCGAGUUUGCACACACAAACACACACAGAGCGCUCACCUACCGUGAAGAAAAAGAAUUACAUAGGUUAAGGGUCGACUUGUAUCCUUCUUGACUUUGAGUAUUCGGGCUUCGCCAUUCCAACCGACAUACACACACACACACACAGGUCCACAGAGGCAGAUAAGCUUCGACGACGGUGGGGUGAGUGCAAGCCCUCUUGUGCCUAUCCAUGACUUCCAUUGCAUCACAGAUCCUUGCGGCUCUGGCGGCUGCCUCCAGCCCUGUCGCCGAGACGCGCCAUGCAGGUGAUCUCCAGCUCCAGCAGCUGAAGCUGAACGCCACCGCCUACUUCUCCAGCUGUGCGGAAAUCUUCGUCUCGCAGCAGGCUGAUCUACGCGGGCGGCAGCUAGUGGGCUUCCAGCUCAAGAAUAGUCUCGCAGACCCUGCAUGUGCACAGAACGCGCAACUUCAAUCGGCGGUGUGCGAGCAGGCGGUCGCCGACCCGCAGCGCAUCAUCCGAAACGUCGCCGGCAGUAUUAUUAGCGUGGCCGUGCGCGAGGGACUGUGGCCUGCGGAAGCGGUCGUCCGACAACUCGGUACCAUUCUCACCCAGCGGAGCAACGAACUUGGCGCGGUGCACGGUGCCAUCCGCACCUUGUCGUACAUCGUUGACGAUGCGAUGCCGCUGCUCGAUGCCGCGGGGCUGACAAAGCCGGUGCUGCUCGCUGCGCUGCCGUACCUCACGUCCACCGUCUUUGGCACGACCGGAGCAGAUGCGCUCGAGACACGCGUCAAGGCCCUCGAGGUUGUCGCACUGAUUUUGGAACACGCGGGUAUGGACUUCGAGUCGAACAGCUACAAGAGUCUGCAGGGCGGCAUCACCAGCGUCGUGCAGGCGUGCUUCGACAACCUAAAGGCACCCCUCUCUCAAGCCAUUGCCACACAGUGCAUUCGCUGCAUUACGUUGUCCCUCACGUUCUACCAAGAGAUUGACGACGACCUGUUUGGGCAGAUCGGGCAGCUCAUGUACCAGGCGACCACUGCAGGCAACGGGGCUGCCCCGGCCAACGCAGAGGAGGAGAGUCUCCGUAUUGAGGCGACGGAGUUCUGGCGCGCCAUCUUGCACUUCCCUCACUUUGCUGAGGUGGCCCAGUCGACUGUCGUGCAAAUAAUUCCGGUGAUCAUUCGGUCGAUGAUCUACUCCGAGAUGGAGAUCGGUAUGCUGCAGGCGAGCGCCGAGGACUGGCAGGUGCCGGACAAGAUCGACUCGAUUCGUCCGCGCCACUACACAGAGCUCAACAAGGCCGCUGGCGACGGCGGCAACGACGAGGAGGAGGAUGACGGCGAGGACGACGACGAGGUGGAGGAGUGGAACCUGCGCCGCGUUUCGGCGUUGACGUUAGAUGAACUCAGUCAGUACUACGGCGACCUUCUUCUUCUGCCAGUGCUGAGCUGUGUCGAGGGGAUGAUACGGUCUGGGCCGGCCGGCUGGCGCCAGCAGGAGGCCGGCGUGCUUGCAAUCGGUGCAUUUUGCGAGGGUUGCUACGACUCCCUGGUGCAGUUUCUGCCUGAUAUUUGCCCGAUGCUUCUGCAGCUGCUCGAGGCGGCUGAUACGCAUUUUCUCGUAGUGAGCAUUUCGCUCUGGUCAUGUACUCGCCUCGGCAGCUACUUCCUCUCGAACCAUCCGUUGAUGGAGCGGCUGAUGGCGUGCAUUCUGCGGAAGAUGGAGAACGCGUCCAAGAUGGUGCAGAGCGCCGCCGUCGAGGCGCUGCGCAGCAUGCUGGAAAUGGCGGAGGAAGGCCAGGUGGACGCGGCUGCCCCGGCGAUUGUGCGUUCCAUCGCGACAUGCUUCGGCGCCUAUCAGCUCAAGAACCGCGUGCUUCUCUUGGAGGCAGUGCAGUCUGUCUGCCAGACCCUGGGCGCUGCUGUGCGUGGCAGCGAGGAACUCAUCUCUACCCUUCUUGCGCCGCUGGGCCAACUAUGGUCGCAGACUCCGAAUGACAGCCCCCUGCUGUGGAGCCUGUUCGACUGCAUGGCAACCGUGUGCGCCACGCUUGGGCCCGCGAUGCAGCCCAUGACUGGCGAGAUCUUCAACCGCAGCUUCUCGCUCCUGCGUGAGCACCUGCAGCAGCGACACGCCGCCCUUCAGUCGGGCGACAUUCCGCCGGAUGAGGAGUUCACUGUGACCUCGUCUAUCUUGCUGAGUGGACUCUUUGACGCCAUGGGGUCGGGACUGGAGCCUUUGGUGGCUCAGAAUGAGCCGGUAUUCAUGCAGCUGACGCUCUCCAUGCUCUCCGACGCGUCACCUCACAUUCGGCAGAACGGCUUCUGCCUCGCGAGCGAUGUGGCACGCACGUGCCCGACGCACUUGCAGCAGGUGCUCCCCCAGUUCUGCGACGUGGCGGUGCAGAAUGUCACGAUGGCCGACGAGUCGUGCUACGCGGUGGUCAGCAAUGUUGCCUGGGCGGUAUGCAACUUGCUGGAGCAUGAAGUGGAUGGCACUGGCGCUCCGACGAUGCAGGCAAGCCCGACCAUGUCGCAGCUGUUUGCACUCUUUGCGAAGUUGCUGGGACAGACCGACAUCACGUCGGAUAUGCGCAACAUGGCAGAGAAUGUGUCGCUGUGCCUCGGCGUCAUGCUGUACGUCGACGCCGACGUGGAGUCGAAGGCGGGCUGCUCCGUGGAGCUCUUUGCAGGUGCGUUUUGCCGCUUCGUGCGCAACGUCCGCGAGUCAUCGUCGCUGCUGGAGGCGGGCACGAACGGUUUUCUGAUGGCAGUGCAGCGGAAGCCGAGUGCUGUUGUGAGCAAUCUUGUGCUCUUCUGCGAUCUUGGUUGCUCCGUGGCAGUGGAGGGCGUGGAGGCAAGCCGCAUGAUCCGUGAUCUGCUUUCGAACGCUUCACGAGCGAACCCCGACGUGUGGCGCCAGGCGCUUGCCGCCUGCACAGAGCCCACCCGCAAGAAGCUGUACGAACGGUACGGCUUUCAGUAGGGUGGGAGAGGGCGAGAAGUCUGUUGUGGUUGAGGCAGAGGUGUGCCGCCGUCGUCAGCUGACCAUGAACAGGCGGAAGAAAAAAGAAAAUAUAACAAAGGAUAUGGAAGGCAGACGUGACAUUCACGGUCACCAACGGUGGACUCUGUGCAAGAAACAGCCCACCGUUGGCGUGCGUUUGGGCACGCCUGCAUAUCGGGUUGUUCCUUCACUUUUUUUCUUUCGGUUCUAUGUUUGCACACGCCGCACCUCCGUUCUUCGAUCCCUUUUGUUUGUGUUUUGUGAGCUCCUCUUCUGUUCCCGCUCCAGCAGUGGCCUCGUUAAUUCUGUUCUCUCCUCGGUUCAACGAACAACACCAAGACGACAAAAAAGUGGAAUUCAAGCCGAGAGAUGGGAGAGUUCGUGCGUGCGGUGGUGUUGUAAGUAUGUCUUUGUACCUGUGUAAUUGGGUCUUGCCGUCUAAUGGAGAGAGGAGGGUGGGGCAGCAAGCUGAGGGAGGGAGGUGUGUGUGUGUGUGGUUGGUUUCUGCCCAUCUUUCCGUUCAUCAUCUACCUGUUGUCGCCACGUCCCCAUCUGUCUUCGCUGCGCCCCACCUUUCUUUUUCUCUGAUCUUGCGUCAUUGUCUUUUCAUUGGUAUCCGUGUACGGCAG
RNAcentral lists this unclassified non-coding RNA (3800 nucleotides) under Leishmania donovani. Its description in RNAcentral is "gene:LdHU3.35.3020(CDS-product:Importin_1)". Lineage: Eukaryota; Euglenozoa; Kinetoplastea; Trypanosomatida; Trypanosomatidae. The record is from RNAcentral.